RNAcentral lists this ribosomal RNA (751 nucleotides) under Xiphinema afratakhtehnsis. Its description in RNAcentral is "partial 28S ribosomal RNA". It matches the Rfam family "Eukaryotic large subunit ribosomal RNA", at positions 378 to 909 of the family's 3401-position model. Lineage: Eukaryota; Metazoa; Nematoda; Enoplea; Dorylaimida; Longidoridae. The record is from RNAcentral.
GAAGAGAGAGUUCAAAAGGGCGUGAAAACCGCUUAGAAUAAAACGGACGGAGCCGUCUGUGACCCGUCGGAAUCAGUCGAAUCGAUGCGUGAAGGCGAGUAUGACAUAAAACGGAACGAAAGUCCGGUCGUCUCGUAGUAAACAGUAGCGCUCGUUCGAUGCAUUUCCGAAGGGUAAGCACCGCGACCGAUGUCGAAGGCUAGUGAAGCCGUCGGAUUGAGGUCGAGCUCGUUUCUCGAGUCUCGUUACCAGUCCUUCGGUAUGAAUAGAAUUCGCUGGACCCUAGCAUCGAGAAUAAAAGCGAAUGUCGGUGAACUAUACGCUCACCUGCUACGAUGGACGUGCGGCCGUUCGAUCRUCGCCUGCUCGCAGGUUAYGGUUUGAAUCAGGUUCGUAUCCGAAGUCGUCGGUGACRUUUUGACAUUCAGGCAUCCGCGGUGUCCGAGUCGGUCACCCGUCCGACCCGUCUUGAAACACGGACCAAGGAGUCUAACGUAAGCGCGAGCUAAUGGGUGGAAAACCUAUAAGCGAAAUAAAAGUAAAAGCCGUUUCGGACGGCCGAGGUACGAUCCCGAAGAACGAAGUAUCUUCGGGCGCAGUACCAUCCCGUCCCGACCGCUUGUCGGUAGGGCGGAGAUAGAGUGCAUACGUUGGGACCCGAAAGAUGGUGAACUAUGCCUGAGCAGAGCGAAGCCAGAGGAAACUCUGGUGGAGGUUCGUAGCGGUUCUGACGUGCAAAUCGAUCGUCAGA